GACGAACGCUGGCGGCGUGCCUAAUACAUGCAAGUCGAGCGGACGAAUCGAACGCUUGCUUUUGAUUCGUUAGCGGCGGAGGGGUGAGUAACACGUGGGCAACCUGCCCUGUAGACGGGGAUAACACCGAGAAAUCGGUGCUAAUACCGGAUAACACGAAAUGUCGCAUGACGUUUCGUUGAAUGACGGCGCUAGCUGUCGCUACAGGAUGGGACCGCGGCGCAGUAGCUGGUUGGGGAGGUCACGGCUUACCAAGGCGGCGAGGCGUAGCCGACGAGAUGGGGUGAUAGGCCACACUGGGACGGAGACACGGCCCAGACUCCUACGGGAGGCCGCAGUAAGGAAUCUGCCGCAAUAGACGGAAGUCUGACGGAGCAACGCCGCGUGAGCGAAGAAGGCCUUCGGGUCGUAAAGCUCUGUUGUUAGGGAAGAACAAGUAACGCAGUAACUGGCGUUACCGUGACGGUACCUAACGAGAAAGCCACGGCUAACUACGUG
Molecule: ribosomal RNA, 498 nt
Filed under: uncultured bacterium
Lineage: Bacteria
Description: partial 16S ribosomal RNA
Rfam family: Bacterial small subunit ribosomal RNA
Source: RNAcentral